This 467-nucleotide ribosomal RNA is filed under the name Erysipelotrichaceae bacterium canine oral taxon 311. Its description in RNAcentral is "bacterial SSU rRNA". It matches the Rfam family "Bacterial small subunit ribosomal RNA", at positions 9 to 469 of the family's 1533-position model. The record is from RNAcentral. Lineage: Bacteria; Bacillati; Bacillota; Erysipelotrichia; Erysipelotrichales; Erysipelotrichaceae.
GAGUUUGAUUAUGGCUCAGGAUGAACGCUGGCGGCGUGCCUAAUACAUGCAAGUUGAACGGACUUGGAGGGUGCUUGCACCUAACAAGUUAGUAGCGAACGGGUGAGUAAUACAUAAGCAACCUACCUAUUAGCCUGGGAUAACUAUGGGAAACGAUAGCUAAUACCGGAUAGGUAACUUGAAGGCAUCUUUAAGUUAUUAAAGGUUAGAGACACUAAUAGAUGGGCUUAUGGCGUAUUAGUUAGUUGGUGAGGUAACGGCUCACCAAGACGAUGAUACGUAGCCGGCCUGAGAGGGUGAACGGCCACAUUGGGACUGAGACACGGCCCAGACUCCUACGGGAGGCAGCAGUAGGGAAUUUUCGGCAAUGGGCGCAAGCCUGACCGAGCAACGCCGCGUGAGUGAAGAAGGCCUUCGGGUUGUAAAGCUCUGUUAUAAAUUAAGAAUGGCUAUAAGGGACUAUAGAG